RNAcentral lists this unclassified non-coding RNA (288 nucleotides) under Lingula anatina. RNAcentral's name for it is "uncharacterized LOC106151544, transcript variant X4". The record is from RNAcentral. Lineage: Eukaryota; Metazoa; Brachiopoda; Lingulata; Lingulida; Lingulidae.
AGGAGAAUCAUUUCGUAAGAACGUAGGUGCAGCCUAAAGAGGGCAACCUUUAUCUAUUUCUCAUUCCUGUCCUUUCUGUUAGAGGACUAGAAGUAAAGAAUAAAGAUGGCAGGCAUCAUAUUAGUACGUGGACAUUCACUCUCUAAAAAGUAUAUUUUGCUGUUUUGCAUAAGUGCUACUGCAGUGUUGCUGCUAUUUUGGAACUACACUCUUUAUAUGGAUGCUGUCAUAAAAGUGAAGACAGGCAAAGGUAUCAGACUAAGAGGCAAUCACAAAAAGGAGCAUGAG